AUUGAACGCUAGCGGGAUGCUUUACACAUGCAAGUCGAACGAGUGGCGGACGGGUGAGUAAUAUAUCGGACCGUGCCCAGUAGCGGGGGAUAACUAAUCGAAAGUGUGGCUAAUAGCGCAUACUCUUGGAGCGGCCGAUAUCGGAUUAGCUAGGUGGUGGGGUAAAGGCUCACAAAGGCCACGAUCCGUAGCUGGUGUGAGAGGACGACCAGCCACACUGGGACUGAGACACGGCCCAGACUCCUACGGGAGGCAGCAGUGGGGAAUUUGGGACAAUGGGGGAAACCCUGAUGCAGCCAUCCCGCGUGUAUGAGAAGGCCUUCGGGUUGUAAAGUACUUUUGGCAGGGAAGCGGUAUCUGCAGAAUAAGCACCGGCUAACUACGUGCCAGCAGCCGCGGUAAUAC
This 405-nucleotide ribosomal RNA is filed under the name uncultured bacterium. Its description in RNAcentral is "partial 16S ribosomal RNA". It matches the Rfam family "Bacterial small subunit ribosomal RNA", at positions 30 to 526 of the family's 1533-position model. The record is from RNAcentral.